AUCGGUGCCUAUGACGAUGAGGACCCACCCGUUCCCAUUCCGAACACGGAAGUUAAGCUCAUCAGUGCCGAAGAUACUUGGCGGGCGACCGCCUGGGAAAAUAGGUCGGUGCCGGUA
This is a ribosomal RNA of [Clostridium] cellulosi, 117 nucleotides long. The record is from Rfam. Lineage: Bacteria; Bacillati; Bacillota; Clostridia; Eubacteriales; Oscillospiraceae.